RNAcentral lists this non-coding RNA (29 nucleotides) under Mus musculus (house mouse). The record is from RNAcentral. Lineage: Eukaryota; Metazoa; Chordata; Mammalia; Rodentia; Muridae.
UAACAUUGCUUUGAAUUAGUGACCUUUGC